Molecule: ribosomal RNA, 253 nt
Filed under: uncultured bacterium
Lineage: Bacteria
Description: partial 16S ribosomal RNA
Rfam family: Bacterial small subunit ribosomal RNA
Source: RNAcentral
UACGUAGGGGGGAAGCGUUGUCCGGAUUCAUUGGGCGUAAAGAGCGUGUAGGCGGCCAGGUAGGUCGGUUGUGAAAACUGGAGGCUCAACCUUCAGACGUCGACCGAAACCAUCUGGCUAGAGUCCGGGAGAGGAGAGUGGAAUUCCUGGUGUAGCGGUGAAAUGCGCAGAUAUCAGGAAGAACACCCGUGGCGAAAGCGGCUCUCUGGAACGGUACUGACGCUGAGACGCGAAAGCGUGGGGAGCGAACAGG